CGGGGUGUAGCUCAGUUGGCUAGAGCGCUCGGUUCGGGACCGUGAGGCCGCUGGUUCAAAUCCAGUCACCCCGA
This 74-nucleotide transfer RNA is filed under the name Elusimicrobiota bacterium. RNAcentral describes it as "tRNA-Pro". It matches the Rfam family "tRNA". From Rfam's summary of the family: Transfer RNA (tRNA) molecules are approximately 80 nucleotides in length. Lineage: Bacteria; Pseudomonadati; Elusimicrobiota. The record is from RNAcentral.